CCAUGCCGCGUGUGUGAAGAAGGCCUUCGGGUUGUAAAGCACUUUCAGUCAGGAGGAAAGGUUAGUAGUUAAUACCUGCUAGCUGUGACGUUACUGACAGAAGAAGCACCGGCUAACUCCGUGCCAGCAGCCGCGGUAAUACGGAGGGUGCGAGCGUUAAUCGGAAUUACUGGGCGUAAAGCGUACGCAGGCGGUUUGUUAAGCGAGAUGUGAAAGCCCCGGGCUCAACCUGGGAACUGCAUUUCGAACUGGCAAACUAGAGUGUGAUAGAGGGUGGUAGAAUUUCAGGUGUAGCGGUGAAAUGCGUAGAGAUCUGAAGGAAUACCGAUGGCGAAGGCAGCCACCUGGGUCAACACUGACGCUCAUGUACGAAAGCGUGGGGAGCAAACAGGAUUAGAUACCCUGGUAGUCCACGCCGUAAACGAUGUCUACUAGAAGCUCGGAACUUCGGUUCUGUUUUUCAAAGCUAACGCAUUAAGUAGACCGCCUGGGGAGUACGGCCGCAAGGUUAAAACUCAAAUGAAUUGACGGGGGCCCGCACAAGCGGUGGAGCAUGUGGUUUAAUUCGAUGCAACGCGAAGAACCUUACCUACACUUGACAUACAGAGAACUUACCAGAGAUGGUUUGGUGCCUUCGGGAACUCUGAUACAGGUGCUGCA
RNAcentral lists this ribosomal RNA (660 nucleotides) under Pseudoalteromonas sp. RNAcentral describes it as "bacterial SSU rRNA". It matches the Rfam family "Bacterial small subunit ribosomal RNA", at positions 392 to 1045 of the family's 1533-position model. The record is from RNAcentral. Lineage: Bacteria; Pseudomonadati; Pseudomonadota; Gammaproteobacteria; Alteromonadales; Pseudoalteromonadaceae.